UUGAGCUAGGAAUAUAGCUGAGUGGUAGGGACUUGGCUAGAAUACACAAAGGUCGACCCCUAGCACUAGAAUCAAAAGGGAAAUAAAAAGUCUUCAUAAUAGCAGUCAUUUGUAGGUGUUUGCUGUGCAGUAGACACUGGGUUUAAACAAACAUCACAAACAGGCAUUCCAUGGAGCAUUGUAUUACUACUGUUCCCAUUUUACAGAUAAAAACUGAUAUGCAGAAAGAUGUCAAGAAUAGUAAUAUAAUCAGCUGAAGUGGCAGAAUGGGAUUUAGAUUUUCGUUGCCACAGAGAGAAACUACUAGACCAGAUUACCUUCUCCAUGUUAGAAAUGGUUUCUGAGUUUAGGUAGUAUUUGGUUUCUUCCACUUUUAUUCAUUAUUUUUUUAUCUUAAAAUUUUUUAUUUAAAUUUUUUAUUUGAUCUGUAUGAGUGUUUUGCCUGUAUGUUUCUGUAUCAUGCAUGUGCCUUAUACCUGUGGAGGCUAGAAGAGGGUGAUCCCUGGCACUGGAGUUAUAGAUGAUUUUGAGCUGCUGUGUGGGUACUGGGAAUUGAACCUGUGUCCUCUGGAAGGACAUUAAGUGCUUUUAACCUCUGAGCCAUCUGUCCAGCACCAUUUACAACAGCUUUAAUCAUUUAGGUUUACCUCUGCCCUGCUUAGUGUCUACUGAUGCCUAGAAACGUGGUUCAAGCAGCGGUUUCAUUUCUUUCUUUCUUUUUUUUUCCUCCUUUCCUUUCCUUUCCUUUUCCCUUUUCCUUCUUUUCUUACUUUCUUUUUGAGAUAUGGUCUCAUUACAUAGUUCCGUCUGUCCUGGAACUCACUAUGUAGACCAGGCUGGUCUGAAAUUUAUAGAGAUCCACCUGCCUUUGCCUCCAGGCACUAGGAUUAAAGGCAUGUGCUGCCACACCCAGCCCAGCAGAGGUUUCUUAUAGAAGAGACUUCUCAUAGAUUGUGAGAUGAUAUAAGAGAUCACUGGAAUUUACAAGUCCAGUACAGACAUGUGUGAUCAAAACCUGUACAUACUGAGUAGGAGAGGCACAAACUAGGUGUGGAUGUAGGAAAGAAGACUGGGGAAUGCGGAAAAGACAAAGAAAGAUAAAGGAGUGAAAUGCCUGCAGUUAGCAAAUGUCUGUGCAUGUGUGUGUACAUUGUGUACACAAAUAUGUGCGUAGACUUUUAGGUUUUACUCUCUGCCAGCUGCUUUCACAAUUAGAAACCAGUUUUUCUUCUACCAGGUGAUCAUCAAAAGAUGCUAGCAUCUAAGACACAGUAGCCACAGGUACCAAAGCUUCUAUCUUUGGAAAGCAUGUGUGGGUGUUUAUUAUCCUUCCUCUCACUUCUCCCUCUUGUCUUUGUCACUUAGAGAAAAUGAGAAAACUCAUGGUAGUACGAUUUUUAAUGCUGCAGAUAUAUAGGAUAACAUGAUAUUAUGUUUGUUGAAGUUAAAAGAAGAUAUCUCCAUGAAACUUAUUGAAAUAAUAAUUCCAUUGUUGCUUCAGAAACAUGAAGAACCAUUAAAGUGGCUGGAAAGAUGGUUCAGCAGUUGAGAGCACAUAGUGCUAUUCAGAGGACUUGAAUUAGGUUCUCAGCACUCAUGUUGAGCUGUUCACCAUCAUCUGUAACUCCAGUACCAGGGAAUCCAUCUUAUAGCCACUCCCUUGCACUUCUAAUAAAAAAUU
RNAcentral lists this long non-coding RNA (1681 nucleotides) under Mus musculus (house mouse). RNAcentral's name for it is "long non-coding RNA chr11:77228046-77229727". The record is from RNAcentral. Lineage: Eukaryota; Metazoa; Chordata; Mammalia; Rodentia; Muridae.